UGCCUAACUUGUGACAAUGUGUCUGGAGAA
This 30-nucleotide non-coding RNA is filed under the name Rattus norvegicus (Norway rat). The record is from RNAcentral. Lineage: Eukaryota; Metazoa; Chordata; Mammalia; Rodentia; Muridae.